Molecule: long non-coding RNA, 1230 nt
Organism: Larimichthys crocea (large yellow croaker)
Lineage: Eukaryota; Metazoa; Chordata; Actinopteri; Sciaenidae
Exons: 5
Source: RefSeq, a predicted model, not a curated record
UAGCAACAACCUAGCAACGGUUCGUUAAUGAGCUAAUCACGUAUUUACGUUUCAAAGUUUUAACUGCGGCGAGAUGUCGUCAAACGACUUGUUAUUGUUUUUCAGAGAUCUCCAGAGACUCGCCAUGCAGCCAGGUUCUACACCUAGUCUCAGACUGUGACUCAGGCACAGGGCAGUGCAAUUACAGAAGUGCUUUGCUCUACUUCCAUGCUGGGAUUUCUGUUUGCUUCUCCAAACCAGGAACUUCUUGACCACUGUCUACUGAAGAUCCACAACACAAUGGAGACGAUAUGGAUAACUGGAUUUUGCCUCACUAAACACUCCCUCAAACAAUCAGGAGGAUUUCCCCCUGAUACACUAUAUGAAAGUGACUUUGAGUGAUAUCAUUCACCGGCACAAACAAAGCCAAUGCUGGCGCUGCAGUACGUGAACCACAAGAAAGGCUGAGCUGGUCAUCAGGUGCCUCCCUUGGAGUGCUAUAAAUUGACAGAAAUGGUAGACAGUGCAGAAUAAAUGAGAUCGCUCAAAUAAGUAACACUCCCUAUUAAUAAGAUUCUUAAUGUGACACUCUGAGACUCCUAAUUGGGACAUAAAUAGUUAGUGCAGCAAAAACAUACGAGGCUUUGCCAAAACUCCAUACAGUGAAGGAAAUCUAAUUCAGUUUUUCUUGUGAAAAAUGCAAACUGGAUGCUCUCAGUGAUUGAUGUUACUACAUUUCGACCAGCGCACUGUGCUUUAGGACAAAAAAAGUGUUUUUGUUUAAUGUCAGACUAUAAUAAAACAAAACUGUUUUAUAACUAUCAUCUGCACAUAUUUUAAAUAUUUACAAAUGUUGUAUGAUCACUACAGUGCCAAAUUCAGCGUGACUUUUAAAAGAUUAGGGUGUUAGUGCCAUUUACUCGUGUAGUUGUGGAUUGCAAACCUCUCCACUAUUUCAGGUGUGAAGGAGAAAAUAUGGUGGCCAUAAAUUUCAUGAAAAAAGCAAAACUAUCCAGAGCCAGUGUUUGAUUUGUUCUGCUGUGGGCUACUUUAAAAACAUUGUGGUACAACAUGGAGUCUGUAGAUGUAAAAUGCCAUUUCUAAGGUAAUAAAAGCAUAAUGAUUCUUAUUUUCAGGUGAUUAUACAUUUAAAAAAAACAUAGUUAUGCAUAUUAUAGUCCAUCUUUGCCCUAUUCUGUAAAUAUAGCCACCUGCAUCACACACUGGACAUUUUAAACUAACUUUGUAAAA